This 497-nucleotide ribosomal RNA is filed under the name uncultured bacterium. RNAcentral's name for it is "partial 16S ribosomal RNA". It matches the Rfam family "Bacterial small subunit ribosomal RNA", at positions 28 to 507 of the family's 1533-position model. The record is from RNAcentral.
GAUGAACGCUGGCGGCGUGCCUAAUACAUGCAAGUCGAGCGAACGGACGAGAAGCUUGCUCUUCUGACGUUAGCGGCGGACGGGUGAGUAACACGUGGAUAACCUACCUAUAAGACUGGGAUAACUUCGGGAAACCGGAGCUAAUACCGGAUAAUAUUUUGAACCGCAUGGUUCAAAAGUGAAAGACGGUUUUGCUGUCACUUAUAGAUGGAUCCUCGCUGCAUUAGCUAGUUGGUAAGGUAACGGCUUACCAAGGCAACGAUGCGUAGCCGACCUGAGAGGGUGAUCGGCCACACUGGAACUGAGACACGGUCCAGACUCCUACGGGAGGCAGCAGUAGGGAAUCUUCCGCAAUGGGCGAAAGCCUGACGGAGCAACGCCGCGUGAGUGAUGAAGGUCUUCGGAUCGUAAAACUCUGUUAUUAGGGAAGAACAAAUGUGUAAGUAACUAUGCACGUCUUGACGGUACCUAAUCAGAAAGCCACGGCUAACUACGUG